GACGAACGCUGGCGGCGUGCUUAACACAUGCAAGUCGAACGGAUAGGCCCUGCUUUUGUGGGGUGCUCGAGUGGCGAACGGGUGAGUAACACGUGAGUAACCUGCCCUUGACUUUGGGAUAACUUCAGGAAACUGGGGCUAAUACCGGAUAGGAGCUCCUGCUGCAUGGUGGGGGUUGGAAAGUUUCGGCGGUUGGGGAUGGACUCGCGGCUUAUCAGCUUGUUGGUGGGGUAGUGGCUUACCAAGGCUUUGACGGGUAGCCGGCCUGAGAGGGUGACCGGCCACAUUGGGACUGAGAUACGGCCCAGACUCCUACGGGAGGCAGCAGUGGGGAAUAUUGCACAAUGGGCGGAAGCCUGAUGCAGCAACGCCACGUGCGGGAUGACGGCCUUCGGGUUGUAAACCGCUUUCGCCUGUGACGAAGCGUGAGUGACGGUAAUGGGUAAAGAAGCACCGGCUAACUACGUG
Molecule: ribosomal RNA, 468 nt
Filed under: uncultured bacterium
Lineage: Bacteria
Description: partial 16S ribosomal RNA
Rfam family: Bacterial small subunit ribosomal RNA
Source: RNAcentral